AGAGUUUGAUCCUGGCUCAGGACGAACGCUGGCGGCGUGCUUAACACAUGCAAGUCGAACGAUGAAGCCCAGCUUGCUGGGUGGAUUAGUGGCGAACGGGUGAGUAACACGUGGGUGAUCUGCCCUGCACUUCGGGAUAAGCCUGGGAAACUGGGUCUAAUACCGGAUAGGACCUCGGGAUGCAUGUUCCGGGGUGGAAAGGUUUUCCGGUGCAGGAUGGGCCCGCGGCCUAUCAGCUUGUUGGUGGGGUAACGGCCCACCAAGGCGACGACGGGUAGCCGGCCUGAGAGGGCGACCGGCCACACUGGGACUGAGACACGGCCCAGACUCCUACGGGAGGCAGCAGUGGGGAAUAUUGCACAAUGGGCGCAAGCCUGAUGCAGCGACGCCGCGUGAGGGAUGACGGCCUUCGGGUUGUAAACCUCUUUCAGUACCGACGAAGCGCGAGUGACGGUAGGUACAGAAGAAGCACCGGCCAACUACGUGCCAGCAGCCGCGGUAAUACGUAGGGUGCGAGCGUUGUCCGGAAUUACUGGGCGUAAAGAGCUCGUAGGCGGUUUGUCGCGUCGUCUGUGAAAACCCGCAGCUCAACUGCGGGCUUGCAGGCGAUACGGGCAGACUUGAGUACUGCAGGGGAGACUGGAAUUCCUGGUGUAGCGGUGAAAUGCGCAGAUAUCAGGAGGAACACCGGUGGCGAAGGCGGGUCUCUGGGCAGUAACUGACGCUGAGGAGCGAAAGCGUGGGUAGCGAACAGGAUUAGAUACCCUGGUAGUCCACGCCGUAAACGGUGGGCGCUAGGUGUGGGUUUCCUUCCACGGGAUCCGUGCCGUAGCUAACGCAUUAAGCGCCCCGCCUGGGGAGUACGGCCGCAAGGCUAAAACUCAAAGGAAUUGACGG
RNAcentral lists this ribosomal RNA (897 nucleotides) under uncultured Actinomycetes bacterium. Its description in RNAcentral is "SSU rRNA". It matches the Rfam family "Bacterial small subunit ribosomal RNA", at positions 8 to 916 of the family's 1533-position model. The record is from RNAcentral. Lineage: Bacteria; Bacillati; Actinomycetota; Actinomycetes.